GUGACUGAUGUUGAUUGUCUCAGUGUGGAGCUCCAUGUGAAGGGUACAAAAAGAAGAUUGCUUGGUCUCAGUCAGACUGCGAGGACUGCUCACACAAACACUGCUGAUCGCUAUCAGCUGAAUUCAUCUCAUCACUCUUGCAGACACCAUGGGCGCUCGUCAGUCCGCCAUUCAUAUUACGAACCAGGCUCAGGGCUACACCCUUCAAAACCCCAGUCUGCAUCUUGUUAGCGGACUCUGCCAAAUUCCUUUGCCAACGAAACUUGAGCCUUUUGAAUCUGGCAACGCUCUGUUCUCUAAGAUUGGUGGCACAGCACGUGGAACUGUUGGAGUCUUCACCUACGAUCUCUACGAUCAAUCUACAAACAGAGCUGAUAAGAAAAUAGGUGUCAUGUUCUCAGUUCCUUUUGACUAUGGUCUGUACUGUAACUGGUACGCAGUCGGAGUCUUUGGUAGGACCACAAACUGUGAUUAUGAUCUUUAUCGUAAGAUGUAUCACAAUCCUGAAAGAGGGUUUGUCAGAGGAAAAGCUGAUGGUCAUGAUCUGACUCACACAGAUAUUAAUGUUACUAUUAAAGUCAGCAUGACAAACUUGAGUGUUGCAACACUGAAAGUUGAAGUACACAACAUACAAAGAGGAGGUCUUACUGCUUUUAGGGCAGAUCUUGAGAAAAGGCUUGAUCACCCUUUAUCAGUAUUAUUUUUACUUACCUUAAAACUGCUGAUCAGGAUAAACAGAUAUAAACUCACUAAGUUAACGCAGGGUUUCCCAAUCUUCCACAGAAAAUGGUCCUCACAACAUCUACACAAGAGAUAUAGGAAUAGUGAUGAAAAAUCUAUAACUAUCAUGGUCCUGGGUCGUUGACCCAGCGUUUUGUGUUUCAUUUUGGUGUCAUCUUAUGUUUUGUGUUAAUUCUUAUUUUGCAUUAUUGCUUAGGGUUUGGUUCUUGUGUUUAGUGCUUUAGUGUUCUCCCUCUUGUGCUCUGUUCGUGUCCCUGAGCUUGUCUUUGUGAAUUUCCUGUUUUAUUUUGAAGGUCUGUGUCUGCUAUCACUGUGUCAGUUUGUGUCUUCCUGUUGUCUUCUGAAUUAGGAUCAGCUGUGUUCCCCUCCUGUGUGUAAUUCCCUCGUUACCUUGUGUGUAUUUAUAGUGUGUGCCUGCUUGUGUUCCUUGUCGGUUUGUCUGUGUUAAUCAGUGUUUUGCCAUGUCAUUUCUGUUUAUCUCCCGGUGUCCUUAUGUUUUCAGGUUUGUUUAUUAGUUUCUCCCAGUUUAGAUUUAUGUUUAGUUCAGCGCUUUCUUUUGUUAUGUUUUGUGCACUGUAAAUAAACUCACUCACAUUACCGCCGCUGACUGCUACUUGGAUCCUCCUUCUCAUCUCCACACGACUGCUGCCCUAGCCAUGACAAGAAAUACCAGUAAAAUACAAUCCUGUUGUAAAAAGGACAUGCAAUUAAUGUUGCAGCAAAUUGUUAAUCUGAUGAUUUGAACUGCAGUGCUGAGUACUGAGCAUGCUCAGAGAGUGCUCAGUAUGGCUGUUUGUUUCCCAGGUGAUCAGAUCAGAGUGAUUGAAUAUGAAUGGCUGAACAUGUAUUCAGGCAUGUGUUAUAUGCUUGUGGCAGUGAAACAGCAACAUCAGAUCAGAAUCAUUUUCUGAUCACAUGAACACAAUUCGCCCAGCACAUAAUCAACAUACUUUAGAAGAAUCAGUGAAAAUGCUUCCAGCUUGUUUUAGACUGAACUCUGGACAUAACUCCCGGCAGUUUGAGCUUUUAUUCUCUCAGCUACAGCUGUUUGAGAUUGUGAACCAGCUCCGUAGUACAGAAAACCCAGGCUUAAUGUUAAAGUUACCUGAAUGAGCAAACUUCCCUGGAGUUAAAACCUUUAGUAAUUUAAAAAUAAAGGUUUAACAUUGAAUCAUUCAAGGUCAGGUAAGCAGGUAACACAUGCUUGCAUAGAUGGGAUGUAAUAAGUUGGAUUACUGAUGAAAUCAGAUGCAAACUCUCCACCAAAUGUUUUGAAAGUCGUCACUGAAAUUUGAGGAAGUAAUGGAAGAUUUCAGGGAUUUAAUAAUCUGUUACUGAUUCUGCUGUAAAUACUUUCCGAGAAAUACUGUUUUCUGUGCAUUAAUGUAAACAUUUGCUUCUUUGUUUUCUGAGUCCUGAACAUGAAUAAAGAAAUAAAUCAGA
This is a long non-coding RNA of Oreochromis niloticus (Nile tilapia), 2184 nucleotides long. RefSeq lists it as uncharacterized. The record is from RefSeq and is a predicted model, not a curated record. The transcript is spliced from 4 exons. NCBI's taxonomy places the organism in Eukaryota, Metazoa, Chordata, Actinopteri, Cichliformes, Cichlidae.